This 710-nucleotide long non-coding RNA is filed under the name Volvox carteri. RNAcentral describes it as "long non-coding RNA (VCAR_LNC001729)". Lineage: Eukaryota; Viridiplantae; Chlorophyta; Chlorophyceae; Chlamydomonadales; Volvocaceae. The record is from RNAcentral.
AGCCGACGCCGACUGGAUGACCCAUUAACCUUAUUAUAAUGAAAGGGGGGGGAAAAGGAUGGCCCACAACUAGGUUGGUAGACCUAGAUAAGGCACAGGUCUCGGGAAAAGGAUGUCCGCGCACCAGGCUAAUUCAUAGUUGUCUCCUGCAUGUGUUUCAAUCCGCUCCGACACGUAUUGAGCCACAGGUGUAUAAUCCAGCAGCCUAUUCUAAACGCUUCUUAGAUAAUGCUUAACUCUUGCUUACCCGAAUGGUUACGGGAACGAGCCGUUUUCGGUUACCGUUAGCCAUCGCAAAACAUGGCGCAAUGUUAAAUACUCAGUCAAAUUUGAGAUGAUCCUGGCUUACCGCUUUGCAGCUGGACCUCUCGGCACGUGAUUUGCAAUGCAAGAGAGCAAGACCCACCGUAUUGGCACCCCAGGACUUGAAAGGGGGAGGCUUCACCUCCGGCAAAGGAUUGCCACAUAUAAUGUUUAUUUUAGCAACUGUUUAUAUUAUCACGAUGCGUAGAGGUUAAACCUUACCUAAGAGACUUGCUCUGGACUGCAGUUAUGCCGGCGACGCCUCUGCAUAGUCUCCGGCACUUUGUUUUUAGGUCGCAAGUCAUAAGCUUGUACCGUCAGUAUAUCCGUGCAACGCGAAGCCUUGGAACGGGACCUCAUCGGGGUGAGCUCUUGCACUUGUCGGCAAACGAUGAGUUAUAGCCGUG